GAUGAACGCUGGCGGCGUGCCUAAUACAUGCAAGUCGAGCGAACGGACGAUAAGCUUGCUUUUCUGAUGUUAGCGGCGGACGGGUGAGUAACACGUGGAUAACCUACCUAUAAGACUGGUAUAACUUCGGGAAACCGGAGCUAAUACCGGAUAAUAUUUUGAACCGCAUGGUUCAAAAGUGAAAGACGGUCUUGCUGUCACUUCUAGAUGGAUCCGCGCUGCAUUAGCUAGUUGGUAAGGUAACGGCUUACCAAGGCAACGAUGCAUAGCCGACCUGAGAGGGUGAUCGGCCACACGGGAACUGAGACACGGUCCAGGCUCCUACGGGAGGCAGCAGUAGGGAAUCUUCCGCAAUGGGCGAAAGCCUGACGGAGCAACGCCGCGUGAGUGAUGAAGGUCUUCGGAUCGUAAAACUCUGUUAUUAGGGAAGAACACAUGUGUAAGUAACUGUGCACAGCUUGACGGUACCUAAUCAGAAAGCCACGGCUAACUACGUG
RNAcentral lists this ribosomal RNA (497 nucleotides) under uncultured bacterium. RNAcentral's name for it is "partial 16S ribosomal RNA". It matches the Rfam family "Bacterial small subunit ribosomal RNA", at positions 28 to 507 of the family's 1533-position model. The record is from RNAcentral.